RNAcentral lists this long non-coding RNA (199 nucleotides) under Brassica rapa (field mustard). RNAcentral's name for it is "long non-coding RNA (BRAP_LNC004915)". Lineage: Eukaryota; Viridiplantae; Streptophyta; Magnoliopsida; Brassicales; Brassicaceae. The record is from RNAcentral.
AGCGGCUUACAAGUUGUUGUUACCGGAGGAGUCUCACAUUCAUCAUGUUUUCCAUAUUUCUCAGCUUAAGAAGGCGUUGGGAAGCUCAGAGAUAGUACAAGCUUUGCCACCUGUUUUCUUGGAUCCUAGUGAUGGUCCUUUAGAACCAGCGGACAUCUUGGCUAAGCGCUAUAAUGGCCAGAGUGAGACAGAGUUGUUG